UACGUAGGGUGCAAGCGUUAAUCGGAAUUACUGGACGUAAAGCGUGCGCAGGCGGUUUUGUAAGUCUGACGUGAAAUCCCCGGGCUCAACCUGGGAAUUGCGUUGGAGACUGCAAGGCUUGAAUCUGGCAGAGGGGGGUAGAAUUCCACGUGUAGCAGUGAAAUGCGUAGAGAUGUGGAGGAACACCGAUGGCGAAGGCAGCCCCCUGGGUCAAGAUUGACGCUCAUGCACGAAAGCGUGGGGAGCAAACAGG
RNAcentral lists this ribosomal RNA (253 nucleotides) under uncultured bacterium. Its description in RNAcentral is "partial 16S ribosomal RNA". It matches the Rfam family "Bacterial small subunit ribosomal RNA", at positions 524 to 776 of the family's 1533-position model. The record is from RNAcentral.